Molecule: ribosomal RNA, 108 nt
Filed under: Caerostris darwini
Lineage: Eukaryota; Metazoa; Arthropoda; Arachnida; Araneae; Araneidae
Source: RNAcentral
AACGGCCAUACCAUGCUAAAUAUACCGGUUCUCUUUAGAUCACCGAAGUCAAGCAUCAUUGGGCGUGGUCAGUACUUGGGUGGGUGACCACCUGGGAACACCGCGUGC